This 669-nucleotide ribosomal RNA is filed under the name Triticum aestivum (bread wheat). Its description in RNAcentral is "partial small subunit ribosomal RNA". Lineage: Eukaryota; Viridiplantae; Streptophyta; Magnoliopsida; Poales; Poaceae. The record is from RNAcentral.
AUGAAGGAAGGGGAGAGUCGUGGCAAGAGGGCGAGUGCCGAGGAGGUGAAGUCGGAGUCAGAGAAAGGGGAGGUGACGAUGCAGGAUGAAGGCAAAGCAGGGGACGCGUUGGUGGCGCCGGAAUCCAUGGCACCGACGCAAAUCGACGUGAGGAUGGACGUGACACUCCUCCACUGCCAGGGCUGCCUCCUCCCCCUCAAGCCCCCGGUGUUCAAGUGCGAUGCCGUAGGGCACGUAGUGUGCUACUACUGCCGCGCCGGGCACCGCGCCGUCUGCAGCCGUACCAACACCCACUGCGGCCAGCUGGACAAGGUGGUCGGCGCCGCCAAGGUGCCGUGCCCCUACAAGGCGUUCGGCUGCGAGCGCUAUGUGGUGUUCCACGAGGCCGCGAACCACCAGCGCAUGUGCCAGUGCGCGCCCUGCACCUGCCCGGAGUCCGCAUGCGCCUUCGUGGGCUCCCGCGCAAUGCUGGCCAACCACUUCGCCGCCGAUCACCAGCGCCCCGCCGUCACGGUCCGCCAUGGCCGGUCUUGGUGCCUGAACUUCUCCCUGUCGCACGGCUGGCACCUGCUCGUCGGGGAGGAGGACCGCGGCGUGUUCCUCGUCUCCCUCCGUCCGCUCGGUCCGGGCACCGCCGUGUCACUGGUUCUGGUGCAAGCUCUCCAUUGA